UCUUAGAGAUAUGAGAUACGGGCGCGGGAGCAGUAGCCGCCACCCACUCAUUACAGCACACUGCCGGCGCAACUGAGUCAUCUGAGAGGGAGGGGGAAGCCCCCCUCUAGGAAUGCGCGAGAUCAGAGCUCAUAAUAGGUGAGGAUCUCAAUCCGCAGCGGGAGAAACGCCGCGAGCGGUCAGUGCAAUAGAUAGCCCUUGAUCCAACUGAACAGCUCAGAAUAGAGAUAAGGAACAAAGUCCUGACUGGUUCAGCCCAGGAUAUUAAGUCCUGACUGGCGCAGCUCAGGAAAGAAAAACAGCUUAGACAAACAGCAAAGGCAGAUACUAGCCAGAGCAAUAACACACGACCCUGCCGGAGCGAGACAGGGCGAAGACUGGAGCCUGAGGGGAUUGACCCUCCCUCCUGCUACAGGAGGAAAAGCUCUCUGAUUGGCCCUGUCUCGGAGCAGGAGGUCGUGACAACCCAUCAUGCCUUUCGGAUGCCAUCCUCUUCUGAGGGAGAAGAGGGCUCUCUCAAAAGCAGAGUGACAUCACCGGCCAGUAGACCGAUCCCUGCACCCCACUGCUCUUUCCCCAGCCGACACUUGAUAAUGUUGAGCUCCUAAGAGCAGGCAGAUCGCAGUUAUUGCCGGCAGCUGGCUGACAGUAUAUAAGUCAAAGAAAUGGCCUCACUGUGGGGCAUCCAGCUUGGGGUACCAUCAAGGACCAAACCAGAAGAGAUGAUGGAGAUGAAUGAUUGCAUCUUUGGUCUUGAAAUGUUUGCAAGCAACUGCCAUGGUGAAGAGGGUGGGUGAGGUGAAGUGGGGAAUGCAGAUUAAGACCUUGCAUCGUAUUUUUGAUGAAAAUCCCUCCCCACCUGCGAUGUAGGAAAAACGUGUGUGGCCCUCAGAGCAGCAAAGUGGGAGCUGGACAUCUGAGAGCUCUUUCACAGCUCCUGUUCAUUGACAGUGAUAAAUGUUUGUUUAUUGCAUCUCAUAUUUUGACCCCAAGGCAGCAUACAAGACAUAAGAUAUGAAUUCGUAAUAAAAACAACAAUGUAAAAAAACCUAAAUUUUAGCUAAAAAUAGACGCAGGAGCAAAUAAAACCAUAUCUGCAAAA
Hemicordylus capensis (graceful crag lizard) is the source of this 1102-nucleotide long non-coding RNA. RefSeq lists it as uncharacterized. The record is from RefSeq and is a predicted model, not a curated record. The transcript is spliced from 2 exons. Lineage: Eukaryota; Metazoa; Chordata; Lepidosauria; Squamata; Cordylidae.